AACCAUUCUCACCUGCGGCUAGACCUGCGGAGGGAUCAUUAAAAAAAAUCCUUUUUGCCCGCGGACUUUGCUCCAAGGCGCAAAAAACCCACACUGUGUGCACCGUUAUCGUUUCUUUGGCAGGGGCUUGGGGUGGUUUUUUCCACCUCAACUUCUCCUCCGGCUCUAUCCCUUGGGACAGUUGGACAUGGGAAGCAGUUACCCUGCCAGGUAACCCUUUUAAAUCACGCUUUUUUGUUG
RNAcentral lists this unclassified non-coding RNA (240 nucleotides) under soil metagenome. RNAcentral describes it as "partial contains 5.8S ribosomal RNA, internal transcribed spacer 2, and large subunit ribosomal RNA". The record is from RNAcentral.